UGGGGAAUUUUGCACAAUGGAGGAAACUCUGAUGCAGCGACGCCGCGUGAGUGAUGAAGAUCUUCGGAUUGUAAAACUCUGUCCUUAGAGAAGAUAAUGACAGUAACUAAGAAGCAAGCCCUGGCUAAAUACGUGCCAGCAGCCGCGGUAAUACGUAUGGGGCAAGCGUUGUCCGGAAUUAUUGGGCGUAAAGGGUACGUAGGCGGUUUAAUAAGUCCUAAUUAAAAGGCUAUGGCUCAACCAUAGUAUGGUUAGGAAACUGUUGAACUUGAGUAGAUGAGGGGAAAGUGGAAUUCCAUGUGUAGCGGUGAAAUGCGUAGAUAUAUGGAGGAACACCAAUGGCGAAGGCAACUUUCUGGAAUCAAACUGACGCUGAGGUACGAAGGCGUGGGGAGCAAACAGG
Molecule: ribosomal RNA, 403 nt
Filed under: Fusobacteriota bacterium
Lineage: Bacteria; Fusobacteriati; Fusobacteriota
Description: Fusobacteria bacterium partial 16S ribosomal RNA
Rfam family: Bacterial small subunit ribosomal RNA
Source: RNAcentral